This 497-nucleotide ribosomal RNA is filed under the name uncultured bacterium. RNAcentral's name for it is "partial 16S ribosomal RNA". It matches the Rfam family "Bacterial small subunit ribosomal RNA", at positions 28 to 507 of the family's 1533-position model. The record is from RNAcentral.
GAUGAACGCUGGCGGCGUGCCUAAUACAUGCAAGUCGAGCGAACGGACGAGAAGCUUGCUUCUCUGAUGUUAGCGGCGGACGGGUGAGUAACACGUGGAUAACCUACCUAUAAGACUGGGAUAACUUCGGGAAACCGGAGCUAAUACCGGAUGAUAUUUUGAACCGCAUGGUUCAAAAGUGAAAGACGGUCUUGCUGUCACUUAUAGAUGGAUCCGCGCUGCAUUAGCUAGUUGGUAAGGUAACGGCUUACCAAGGCAACGAUGCAUAGCCGACCUGAGAGGAUGAUCAGCCACACUGGAACUGAGACACGGUCCAGACUCCUACGGGAGGCAGCAGUAGGGAAUCUUCCGCAAUGGGCGAAAGCCUGACGGAGCAACGCCGCGUGAGUGAUGAAGGUCUUCGGAUCGUAAAACUCUGUUAUUAGGGAAGAACACAUGUGUAAGUAACUGUGCACAUCUUGACGGUACCUAAUCAGAAAGCCACGGCUAACUACGUG